RNAcentral lists this ribosomal RNA (318 nucleotides) under uncultured eukaryote. RNAcentral describes it as "partial 18S ribosomal RNA". It matches the Rfam family "Eukaryotic small subunit ribosomal RNA", at positions 1470 to 1796 of the family's 1831-position model. The record is from RNAcentral.
CCCUUAGAUGUCCUGGGCCGCACGCGUGCUACACUGACGCAUACAGCGAGCACUUUCCAGUUCCGAGAGGCUACUGGUAAUCAUCAAUAUGCGUCGUGAUGGGGAUAGAUCUUUGGAAUUCUGGAUCUUGAACGAGGAAUGCCUAGUAAUCGCAGGUCAUUAGCCUGCGAUGAUUAAGUCCCCGCCCUUUGUACACACCGCCCGUCGCUACUACCGAUUUCGAGUGGUCAGGUGAAUCUUUCGGACUGUGGGCGCCCUUGAGGUGUUCGCGGAAAGUCAGGUAAAUCUUAUCACUUAGAGGAAGUAAAAGUCGUAACA